Molecule: ribosomal RNA, 3468 nt
Filed under: Triticum aestivum (bread wheat)
Lineage: Eukaryota; Viridiplantae; Streptophyta; Magnoliopsida; Poales; Poaceae
Description: partial small subunit ribosomal RNA
Source: RNAcentral
AUGAGAGGCAGCAUCCUAUACUCUUCAUUUCGGAGGAUUUCCCAGGGCCACCCACCCAAGUCCAGUGGAUUUCACAGGUCAUCUCCACUGGCUGCUCAGAGGUUUGGGCGGUCCAAAAGAUGGAUUGCUACUUCCGAUGGUUUACCCCGUGAAAAGAUGAUGCUUGUGAAUGAUUUAGUUUGCCCGGUCAAGUAUUUCAUGGAGGAAGUUCCGCUGCUUGAACCCUUAGAUGACAAUAUUCUCUUGAAGACCGUUGGAGGACCAAGAGGAAAGACACUGGUUGCAUGGAAAGCUGGGAAAACCAUCAGAAGUCUGCCAGAGCUGAUUGCAACAUAUCAAUUGCGUGGAUGUGCCCUGGGCAACCGUCUCCGGUUAGAGAACUUAAAGAUUUCUCGGUCUUCAGGGAGGUUUGUUCUUAUAGACACUGCAGAAAUUGGUCCCACUGAGAAGAAGGGAAGCUUCAUACAGGACUGGAACCUGGGUGGAGAUGUCCUUGAUACGAUUGCUAGGAGAGUUUUGGGUGUGGGUACCCCUUACCCCAAGGACCUUGAGAAAUACAUCAACAAUAUAUGCGAAGCCCGCUAUUGGCUAAGAGUCUAUGUUAAUCAGAUGUCCCGAGAAGACUUCGAAUCCCUCUCCAGAGACAUGAAGCAUAAGAUGCAAGAGUUCUUUGGAAAGCUACCUUAUGAAGGAGGAGUGGAGGAGGAGGGCUCGCUGAAAUGGCUGUCAGUAAACGAGGAAUUCAUCCGUGCUACCCUCGCUGAGUCAAGGAAAGAUGCACAAAAUAGGGUUACUGGUCCUAACUAUCUGAGCACUGAGAAGGCCAGGAAAAGAGACUUGGGUAGAUGGCUGGUCUGUGUCAACCGCGACGGUUUGACACAUGGGACGAAGACCAAGGCGAAACACCUCGAAGACAUCAAAAGAUUUAUGCUCACUGCACAAAACAUAUCGCAGCUGCUACAUGUGGAGUUCGAUGAGCUGGACCAGAAAUACAUUGAUCUGUGCGACGAGGACAAUGAGCUGCGGGAGCUCCUCAGCAUCGAAGGGAUAUUCUUCGAGACCCCAGAGACCUGGAGCAGUGCCAUUGAAGCACUCGAGAAGGAUAUUCAGGCAUACCACUUUGUGGUUGCUGCUACUUGCUGCGUUUGUGUCUUUGUGUGGUAUCUUACUGGAGUUGAGAUGUUAUCUGUUGCGUUGUGUCUUGGACCUGUUGUAACAGGAAGGCGAGGAGCACAAAGUGCGGUGGUGCUCCAUUUUGUCAGGUGGUUUGAUGAGUGUGGCUACAGCUCUCUUGUGUUACUCCGGGUGCCCAUAGACGCUCCUUUAGUACUUAUUUGCAGUCCAUGGAGCCGACGCACCAACAGACUACAUUACUUACUACAAGGACCAAAGCACACGAAGGCAGCUUCAAGAACUGACGCCAUCGACCGGAGCACACACACACGCCGGCCAUCAGUUCCCUACACCCACCAUCUAGCUGGUUUUAGGAAGAGACGCCCCCGGUGGCGAGCAUUCGGAGCUCUGGGUCAGCGGGAAUGCGAGCGGCAUGGCUUUGUGCGUGUCUCGCAUGGCCAGAGCAUGAAUCAGCUCAGCCCUGCCCCGCCGUCGGCCUUCUCGCAGCUUUUCUUCGUGCUCUAUUCAAGCUCAUGGCAGCGGCGACAUCCAAAUCUCCAAAUCUUAGGCGGGAUAAGUUGUCCAACCCAGCCUGAGGAGCUCGCCGUUGCUCGACCACCAGGAAGAAGCUCGCCGGAGCUCCGCGCUUCUCCGGCCACCGACGAGUAUACCCAGAGAUUCGCGCCGCUCUCCGGAUCACGUACGCGUUCUCGGAGGCGCAAAUGGAGGUCCCAGUCGUCCGGAACCGUCGCCGGAGGCCGUCUGUCCAUCGCUGCCGACGUGACCAUGGGCGAAGGCGUAUUCGGUGGAGUACGCUAUCAUCGCCAGUUCAGCUCGAGCCGAAAUAUCUAUCCUGCGGUACUCACAUCACAGAAAAUUACAAUCAAUGUUGUUCAGCUCAAUAGCUUCAGUGUUGUUGAACUCAAGAAUGCAUCGGGUAUCAACAUGGCUUUUCUGUGUGGAAGAAAGGCAGCCAGGCCCAUUGUCCGGGCUCAUGUGAUGUCCACCGUGUCCGCUCGUGCUCCAAAACCGAGCGGACACCCCACCGCUCCUCGUGCCCAGCGUGCCACCACCCCGCCUGACUCCAUCCACUCGUUGCACUCAGGCGAUGUCGCCUACAGUACCAUGCAACAUCCGCUCGUUGCAGGCCCCAGGACUCAUAUAAGACGAGAAGAACGGAGCGUCUCGUUCCAUUCCCCAAUCUCGCCGCCGCAGCGCUUGCUUCGGUUCGUCGAGUCCCGCUGCAGUUCGUCCGGAUCCGGACGAGAGAAGAGGAGGAGCAAGUUGGGACAGAUGAAGGCGCGGCAGUUGGUGAACGUGGUGAUGCGGAGGUACGGCAUGGGCAGCAGCCUCUAUGCGGUGAGCCGCAUCAAGCCCGAGGAGCAGCUCUUCUACCCAUCAACCAAGGAGGCGCAAGCCUCCAGCACGGGGGAGAUGGAGACCAUCUCCAUCUCCAGGAUGCCCGCGCCCAGCCUGAGGCUGGAGCUCUCCGUCUCCAAGGAGGACAAGAGGCUGGAUUUCCUGCCUUUCUACGAGCGCGGCAGCAAGAUCCUCUGCGUCGACGCCGAGGGCCGCACCGUCCUGUACGACACCGACGCCGGCCUCCUCCACUCGAUGCCCUGCCUCGGCACUCCCAAGGGGCCCAACCCUGUCUCCUCCAUCCUGGACAGGGAGCCCCGGGAUCCCGGGCGGGCGGACGCCUUGUACGUCAUGGGCAGGUGCUGCAACUACUUUGACUUGGAGGCCCUCAUGUACUGCGACCCCUCCAGCGGCAGGAAAGGCUGGCGGUGGCAUCAGCUCCCGCCGCCGCCUGUGCCUCGCGCCGCCGCCUCCGCCGUCAGGUGCCACGCGCUCAUCCACGACGAAGGCGACCCCAUCCUCGUCGUCUCCGCCAAGACGAGCGGCGUUGGCACCCACUGCUUCAACACCUCCACCAACAGGUGGUUCAAGGCCGGACGCUGGACGCUGCCGUUCGUCGGCCGCGCCGAGCGUGUUAGCGAGUUCGACAACCUCUGGUUUGGCAUCGGCGGCGGCUGGCCCUACGACCUGUGCGCGAUGGACCUCUACUCCCUCGGCGCCGGCGCCGAGGCUCUGGGGCUGGCGUACAGCUGGGGAGACCUUAGCCUGCCGGACGACUGGGUGAUGAUGGACUGCAGCAUGGUGUACCUGGGCGGCGGCAGGUUCUGCGUCGCCAAAAUCUUUGAGUUCCGCGUCGGCGAUGACCGGUUGGGGAUGGGCGCUGUCAUCUCUGGCUUGGAGGUGGUGCGCCGCGGCGAGCCAUCCAAACUCGUGAUGGUCAAGCACAAGUCCAAGUUCUACAAGUUUACCAGGGAUGAGAUCGAGUGUAUCCUCUAG